GAACGCAAGUUGCGCCCGAGGCCAGUCGGCCAAGGGCACGUUCGCCUGGGCGUCAAAC
This 58-nucleotide ribosomal RNA is filed under the name Gongora sp. US:3567322. RNAcentral's name for it is "partial 5.8 ribosomal RNA". The record is from RNAcentral. Lineage: Eukaryota; Viridiplantae; Streptophyta; Magnoliopsida; Asparagales; Orchidaceae.